GAUGAACGCUGGCGGCGUGCCUAAUACAUGCAAGUCGAGCGAACGGACGAGAAGCUUGCUUCUCUGAUGUUAGCGGCGGACGGGUGAGUAACACGUGGAUAACCUACUUAUAAGACUGGGAUAACUUCGGGAAACCGGAGCUAAUACCGGAUAAUAUUUUGAACCGCAUGGUUCAAAAGUGAAAGACGGUCUUGCUGUCACUUAUAGAUGGAUCCGCGCUGCAUUAGCUAGUUGGUAAGGUAACGGCUUACCAAGGCAACGAUGCAUAGCCGACCUGAGAGGGGGGUCGGCCAACCUGGGAAUGAGACACGGUCCCAACCCCUACGGGAGGCAGCAGUAGGGAAUCUUCCGCAAUGGGCGGAAGCCUGACGGAGCAACGCCGCGUGGGUGAUGAAGGUCUUCGGAUCGUAAAACUCUGUUAUUAGGGAAGAACAUAUGUGUAAGUAACUGUGCACAUCUUGACGGUACCUAAUCAGAAAGCCCCGGCUAACUACGUG
This 497-nucleotide ribosomal RNA is filed under the name uncultured bacterium. Its description in RNAcentral is "partial 16S ribosomal RNA". It matches the Rfam family "Bacterial small subunit ribosomal RNA", at positions 28 to 507 of the family's 1533-position model. The record is from RNAcentral.